GGCUAUAUCAAGUUGAAACCCAAGUUCUCGUACGCUCACCAAAAUUAAGCAACAUCGAGCCUGAUCAGUACUUAGAUGGGUGGCCGCUUGAGAAUAACAGCUGCCGGA
Acanthosepion pharaonis is the source of this 108-nucleotide non-coding RNA. NCBI's taxonomy places the organism in Eukaryota, Metazoa, Mollusca, Cephalopoda, Sepiida, Sepiidae. The record is from the annotation of a GenBank genome assembly.